Long non-coding RNA from Phyllostomus discolor (pale spear-nosed bat), 4546 nucleotides. RefSeq lists it as uncharacterized. The transcript is spliced from 2 exons. The record is from RefSeq and is a predicted model, not a curated record. NCBI's taxonomy places the organism in Eukaryota, Metazoa, Chordata, Mammalia, Chiroptera, Phyllostomidae.
CAAGGCGGGGGGGUGAGACGUACAGGAAGACCCGGGUGUCGGGAGACUCAACAGAAGGGAGACUACAAAGAAGCGAGGAAAGUGUGCCCAGGACGACUUCCAAGGAGGGAACAGCGGGGACAGAGGAGAACCGCGGUUACUGCCGUAGCACCCGCGAAUGCCGCGAUUUAUUCUCUCUCCUCGCUAUUUCCUCCUCUCACAACCCUUUAGCCAUCCCCUCUUCCUUCCCCGCUUUAGACUAGAACGCAGCCGCAAGCGGAAGUACACGUGACGCCAUCAGGCGUCGCCUGAGUGGCGCGCGAGUGGACGAAAGUGAGAUUUCAAGGGCCGGUGCUGGCUCCCGCGGGCGGGCAGUUUCUCGGUGCUUGGGACAGGCAGCAGAGGAGCGGCUCCGGCUGGGUGGGAAGCCAGUGCGGAAGCACGAUCCAGACACCUUGUUAGCGGGAGCCCGGGACCACCAGGUCUGGGAGGUGGAGCCUCAUUUUGCAUUGUUGUACACUGUUUUGUUCUCGGCCUUCUUUUUGCCCACUGCCGAAUCGGGAGUUGGGGGUUGGAUCUUGAGAGAGGGCCUAGUGUAAGGGAAAGAGCACUCUGCCUAGUUUGUGUUGGGUUAUAGACUUCCUGAAUCUGAGUAUAUGUUUCUGUAAAUAAGGAGUUCCGAUCACUACAACGGUAAAUUUCCGAAGUGGAGAAGAAAACAGGAUCUGUGCCAGACUUUGCAGGAGAUUCGCUGAAAGACCCCGGUAUAGUUCUCCCACCCCUCACCCACUAAGCUUUUAUCUAUGAAGUGUGCAUCACGAACAACCUUGUCUAUGCACCUCUGUGAAAGACUAUUGUGAUGGGGGGGUUGAAUUUAUUGUUGUUGUCUAAAGAACCUCGAAAGUCUGAGACUUUCAAAAUAAUAGCCUAGCUUAUUAAACUCAGAAUUAUCUCUUUCUGAUCCAGUUAAAGCACAGUGGCAUAAGGAAAAUGAAGUAAACGUCAAAAGCAGAUGUGCUGGCACAAGAUAAAAAGUAUAUCUCAGCUGACAUAGUUGCCAUGUUAAGACUGCUAAGUUUAGCUGCAUAUGCCUGAAAUUUUUUUAGCAUUUUUUUUUCUUUUUGGCAUUGGCAUCCCGAAUGAAAUGUGGGCAGCUGCCAGUACCCUACAGAAUACUAUAGCAGAAUUGGCAAUGACUGAAUCAAUCCAUUCAAGCAAAAAUUAGUCAUGUGCCUACUGUGUGCAUAGUUUAGGACAUCAAAGUAUCUGCUUCCAAAGGCUUUACGGUGUAAUAAGAGUUGUACUAAAUUUACACACAAAGUACCAAUCAUCUGUUACAGUAGUUGCUGAGUUCCUGUGCAGAACAGUAGGCAACAUUGUAUAUUUUACCACUACAGAUUUAAGUUCUAUAACCUCAGCUAGAUUUCUCCCUCCUACUUUGUAUAUCCUUCAGCACCUUUGUCUCCCUUCCCACCAGAAUACUUUUUGCAGUCUAAAUUCCAGCCGCAUUUCAUUAUAUGACUUUACUUCAUACUUUGCAAGAAAAUUAAUGGUGUUAGGCACAAAUUCCUUCAAUUUUUCUAAAUGCUAGGAAAUUAGAUACUUCAUUGUUCUUCUCCAGUAUUAGAAGAAUGAAAUACUCCCCGCUCUUACAAAAGAUGUAUUAUUCAUCUGUACCCUAGUUCCAUAUCAUCUUUCUCUUCCAUUUAUUAUCUUUUCUGUCUUUAAUCUUCCACAUGUCUAGUUCCACUGUUUCCUUCACAGUCAAGCUUUAAAGAGUAUUCUAUGUUCAAUGUCUCUUUGUUAUCUGAAUUUCAUUCAUUAACCCUCUGCAGUCUAAAUUCUGUACCUAUUACACUAUCAGAAAUGCUCUUUUCAAAGUAAUCCCAUUAUUUAGAAGAAAGUGAAUUGCUACUUUUUUAUAUAGUAGUGAAACUAUUUUGGUGGAACCAAUAGGAAAAGGUCAAACCUAUUAGAAUGGAGUGACUUCCUGUUAUUUUUAUCUAGUAUUUUUUUUUUCUUUUAGAAUCUUGUAGCAGAGACUUGACCAGCCACUCAUGAGAAUUAGUUCUUCUCCCUGGUCAUACAGCUAGGCUAAAUUUCCCUUGCAGUUAGUUGUGACCAUGUGGCUGACUUUUAGUCAGUGAGAUAUGAAUGAACAUAAUAUGCUCAUUUCCAGGCUUGAUGAGGUCCUCCCAUUCUCCCUUCAUCUUGCCCUAUCAGCUUGAAGCUAGUGCAUAUGGUAGACCUGAAAACUAUAUAUUAGAGAUACCAGAGCUAGGAGGGAGAAGGAGCAUGACUGGCUAAAUCACUACGUGGAAGACAGCUACCUCCAAAUUAGAAAAUGCUUCUUUUUGGACUUAUUACAGAAGAGAAAAUUUAGAUUUGAGAAUUUAUAUGUUAACAGGAACAAGAAUGACCGUAACUGAUCCAGAAAUUGGUAUCAGAAGUGGGGUACUGCCUAGACAAUAACUUAAAAUAUGUUGUGUUGCAAUGAUAACAGCACAUGUUGAAUAAACUGAUAUCAGAGGCUGGAAGGAGACUCAUGUCUUGUAGUGGCAAAAUAAUUGGUAAAACUGUUACCUGCAAUAAUUGAAAAGCAUAUCACCCAUCUAUUGAGACUGUAGUCCAGAGGAAAAUAGUUCAAAAGAAUAAAAGUAAUAGUAUAUUUUGAAUUUUACAUUUUACAUCCAGAUGGAUUUUACUAUAGAAAUAAGCUCUGUAAAUAAUUGCAGAAAUUAAAGUGCAUGGAGAUACUUGAAAGGAUUAGAAGAGAUAUUUUUUUCUAGACCUUGAAUAGUAAAAAAAGAAAAGAAACAAAAAGGCUUUGAGUACAGUUUCUUAAGAUACAGUUCCAGAACAAAUAUCGGAUGAAGGCUCUGGCUUUCACCUCCAACACCAUGAUUUUCACUGCAGUGACAUUUUAGAGAAACUGUCAUGGGAACAAGGAAGCAAAAAAGUAAUUCAGGUUUGACAAUUAUGUAAGAAAGAAUUUUGGGAGAAUUACUGCAAGUAAAUAGAUAAAAGAAUAUAUUUUUGAAGGAAUUUUAUUAAUCAAAUCAUGAACCUGGUUCAAAUAGUGUUCAGGUAUUAAAACAGGCAAUUGUUGAACCCCAAACUUGCAUAAGUAGGAAAUGGGGCAUAAAUGCUUUACAGCUCCCCAAUAUUUACAUAGGAUGUGGUCAUGGGCAGCGAUGGUCAAAGGACAUUUCAGAGGCUGGUGUCAGGUCCAUACAGAGACAGAGGACAAGGGAGUUCCUCUCAAAGACUAGGUUGAGGUCUUAUCAAAACUUCUUCCACUCUUGAGGGAGAGAAACAGAUCACAAAAUGCCUAUGCAUUAUUUCUUUAUUGCUAUGCAUGUGUAUUGCUUAGUGUCACAUUUUUCUCUUUUCUAAACAUGAAUGCAUUUUUACAUGUCCCUCACCUUCCCUGUACAUUGUUUUUCUGGGACAUGGGGUGAUAUGAGAGAGAACUUGUCUUUUUAGUUCAUAGGUUGCAUCUGGACCAAAAGAAAAAGACUAGAGUUACCUAAAAAUCUAGACUUUAAGCCUGACUUAGUGACUGGUUAAAAUUUUAAGUUGUCUCCAUUGGGGCAGGAUGUAUUUUAUGUAUGAAGAGAGGUAAAAUAAAUAUUUAGUGACCAUAAUUGUGGACUCAAAGACACUAGAUUCUUUUUCUGAGCACACAGAUUACACUUUCCAGCCUCCCUUGCAGUUAGGCUAACUAGUUACAUGUGCCAAUUAGGUUCUAACUACGAAUGUGAGUAGAAGUGAUGUGCUGCUGUUGCAGCUCUAGUCCAUAAAAAUAUGACGUGAAGUCCUCCCAAAUCUCCCCAUUCCCUACCAACUUGAGGAAGGAUAAACACCUUUGUAUUGGAAGCUAUGUAUUGAAGAUGAUGAAACCCAAUGUGGAAGGAUUCUGGUUUCCUGCAUCAUUUCUUGGAGGAUAGCUGCCUGCCUACUAGGAAUACUUGUGUUAGAGAUAAUGUGCAUUCUUUUGUGUUUAGUCAUUGAGAUGAGAGUUUAUUCUAAUACAGACCUACCCUUCUUUCUCCAGGUGCAACCGUCCAUUACCUGGUCCUAACUCCCAUAACAGGGUGGUCCCAUGAAUCAGGCCAGCCCAAAGUUACUGAAAAGCAAAGUGGCCAGCAGGCAGCUAAGAUUGCAAGAGAAUUAUGUUGACAGAAACAUGAAGCCUUGCAAACAAAGGCCUAUGAUUGCCUAAUUCCAGUAUCCUUUAUGUGUGGGCAAGAGGUAAGGGAGUGCCUUCCAGAGAGCAAACUCAAGACCACUAGAUUAACUGACCAAGACCUCAUCUAAUAGGUAAUUAGGGUGCUCUUGCUCUUGUUAAGUAUAUGCCACUAUUUAAAAUUAUGUUUAUUAUGCUGUACCAUGAAGAGCUAUGUCCAGACCUGACCAACAGAAAUGCACAUUAUCCAGAAGUCUUGGUUUUCAGGCAAGAUGCAAUAAUUGGAUGAGACUUGGGCAUGUCUACCACUGGGGAGAAGAGUUGUCUAUGGGAUAAUUACAUUGUCUUGGACUAGGGCAUUUUUUAAAAUUAUAUGUA